RNAcentral lists this ribosomal RNA (467 nucleotides) under uncultured bacterium. RNAcentral's name for it is "bacterial SSU rRNA". It matches the Rfam family "Bacterial small subunit ribosomal RNA", at positions 355 to 825 of the family's 1533-position model. The record is from RNAcentral.
UGGGGAAUAUUGGACAAUGGGCGAAAGCCUGAACCAGCAACGCCGCGUGGGUGAUGAAGGCCUUCGGGUUGUAAAGCCCUGUCGGGAGGGACGAAACAGCAGCGUAAUGAACUGCUUUGACGGUACCUUCAAAGGAAGCACCGGCUAACUCUGUGCCAGCAGCCGCGGUAAUACAGAGGGUGCAAGCGUUGUUCGGAAUUACUGGGCGUAAAGCGCGUGUAGGCGGUUGUUCAAGUCUUGUGUGAAAGCCCUGGGCUCAACCCAGGAAGUGCGCAAGAUACUGGAUAGCUGGAGUGUCGGAGAGGAGGGCGGAAUACCCGGUGUAGAGGUGAAAUUCGUAGAUAUCGAGUGGAACACCUGUGGCGAAGGCGGCCCUCUGGACGAUAACUGACGCUGAGACGCGAAAGCAUGGGGAGCAAACAGGAUUAGAUACCCCCGUAGUCCCUGAGCGGGCUGGCAAGGCGCAU